UGGGCGGCGUAUACAUGCAAGUCGAACGAGUUCUCGUUGAUGAUCGGUGCUUGCACCGAGAUUCAACAUGGAACGAGUGGCGGACGGGUGAGUAACACGUGGGUAACCUGCCCUUAAGUGGGGGAUAACAUUUGGAAACAGAUGCUAAUACCGCAUAGAUCCAAGAACCGCAUGGUUCUUGGCUGAAAGAUGGCGUAAGCUAUCGCUUUUGGAUGGACCCGCGGCGUAUUAGCUAGUUGGUGAGGUAAUGGCUCACCAAGGCGAUGAUACGUAGCCGAACUGAGAGGUUGAUCGGCCACAUUGGGACUGAGACACGGCCCAAACUCCUACGGGAGGCAGCAGUAGGGAAUCUUCCACAAUGGACGCAAGUCUGAUGGAGCAACGCCGCGUGAGUGAAGAAGGCUUUCGGGUCGUAAAACUCUGUUGUUGGAGAAGAAUGGUCGGCAGAGUAACUGUUGCCGGCGUGACGGUAUCCAACCAGAAAGCCACGGCUAACUACGUGCCAGCAGCCGCGGUAAUACGUAGGUGGCAAGCGUUAUCCGGAUUUAUUGGGCGUAAAGCGAGCGCAGGCGGUUUUUUAAGUCUGAUGUGAAAGCCCUCGGCUUAACCGAGGAAGCGCAUCGGAAACUGGGAAACUUGAGUGCAGAAGAGGACAGUGGAACUCCAUGUGUAGCGGUGAAAUGCGUAGAUAUAUGGAAGAACACCAGUGGCGAAGGCGGCUGUCUGGUCUGUAACUGACGCUGAGGCUCGAAAGCAUGGGUAGCGAACAGGAUUAGAUACCCUGGUAGUCCAUGCCGUAAACGAUGAAUGCUAGGUGUUGGAGGGUUUCCGCCCUUCAGUGCCGCAGCUAACGCAUUAAGCAUUCCGCCUGGGGAGUACGACCGCAAGGUGAACAGAAAGGAAGUUAGAGGUAA
Molecule: ribosomal RNA, 914 nt
Filed under: Lacticaseibacillus paracasei
Lineage: Bacteria; Bacillati; Bacillota; Bacilli; Lactobacillales; Lactobacillaceae
Description: bacterial SSU rRNA
Rfam family: Bacterial small subunit ribosomal RNA
Source: RNAcentral